Molecule: non-coding RNA, 22 nt
Filed under: Arabidopsis thaliana (thale cress)
Lineage: Eukaryota; Viridiplantae; Streptophyta; Magnoliopsida; Brassicales; Brassicaceae
Source: RNAcentral
UGAGCCUCUACUUAAGGGCCCC